This 468-nucleotide ribosomal RNA is filed under the name uncultured bacterium. Its description in RNAcentral is "partial 16S ribosomal RNA". It matches the Rfam family "Bacterial small subunit ribosomal RNA", at positions 28 to 507 of the family's 1533-position model. The record is from RNAcentral.
GACGAACGCUGGCGGCGUGCUUAACACAUGCAAGUCGAACGGAAAGGCCCUGCUUUUGUGGGGUGCUCGAGUGGCGAACGGGUGAGUAACACGUGAGUAACCUGCCCUUGACUUUGGGAUAACUUCAGGAAACUGGGGCUAAUACCGUAUAGGAGCUCCUGCUGCAUGGUGGGGGUUGGAAAGUCUCGGCGGUUGGGGAUGGACUCGCGGGUUAUCAGCUUGUUGGUGGGGUAGUGGCUUACCCAGGCUUUGACGGGUAGCCGGCCUGGGAGGGUGAACGGCCACAUGGGGACUGAGAGACGGACCAGAGGCCUACGGGAGGCAGCAGGGGGGAAUAUGGCACAAUGGGCGGAAGCCUGAGGCAGCAACGCCGGGUGCGGGAUGACGGCCUUCGGGGUGUAAACCGCUUUCGCCUGUGACGAAGCGUGAGUGACGGUAAUGGGUAAAGAAGCACCGGCUAACUACGUG